UACGUAGGUGGCAAGCGUUGUCCGGAUUUACUGGGCGUAAAGAGCGCGCAGGCGGUCGUUCAAGUCGAGUGUGAAAGCCCCCGGCUCAACUGGGGAGGGUCACUCGAUACUGAUCGACUCGAAGGCAGAAGAGGGAAGCGGAAUUCCCGGUGUAGUGGUGAAAUGCGCAGAUAUCAGGAGGAACACCGGUGGCGAAGGCGGGACUCUGGGCCGAUACUGACGCUGAGGAGCGAAAGCGUGGGGAGCAAACAGG
Molecule: ribosomal RNA, 253 nt
Filed under: uncultured bacterium
Lineage: Bacteria
Description: partial 16S ribosomal RNA
Rfam family: Bacterial small subunit ribosomal RNA
Source: RNAcentral